Long non-coding RNA from Cynoglossus semilaevis (tongue sole), 1005 nucleotides. RefSeq lists it as uncharacterized. The transcript is spliced from 3 exons. The record is from RefSeq and is a predicted model, not a curated record. Lineage: Eukaryota; Metazoa; Chordata; Actinopteri; Pleuronectiformes; Cynoglossidae.
ACAUGCUGUCUCACGUCUUUACCAUUCUUCCUCUGACUUUUCUCAGCUCUUACAUCUCAGUUUUUGCAAACAGUCAAGUCAUAACACCACCCCUGUGGGUGUGAGUGAGUGUGUGUGUGAGUGUGUGUGUGUGUGUGUGUCAGAGAGAGAGAGAGAGAGCAUGUCCGUGCAGGUGUGUGUGUUUUUUCAGAUGUGUCUUUCAGAUAAAGGACACUCAGGCCGAUCGUCUACUGGUCUUGUGUUGUGGAUCUAAAUACUUGAGCCACAUCUUCAUCAAACUUCCUCCUCCUCCUCAUCACACCUCAGUGGUCUCUCAGUCUACCCGUGUCCACAGUCAGCUGACCCACGGAGGUCUUGGAACCCCAGGUUGAGAACUACUGAACUCACAGAUGAACUUGAAAGACUAUCAUCAGUUUUCUGUUGACCUGCAGGACUGAAGGUCGACAACAAGACAUCAAAUGUGAAACGCUGACCAGAACAGACGGUGAAGACUGAGGAAUUUGAACGUGAUUUAGAAGAACUGCUCUGGUGUUCAACUGACAUUUCUCCUCAGUGCAGUUCUGGUUUAUUUUAUCUUCAGAUCAGUGUGUACAUGAGUCACACAUCUGUGAGGCUGCAGCUGUCAUCAUGGAAGUUAGUGCAGGGGUGUAGUUGUCUGUGACACCAUCAGUAGGUGAGGAAUCGGCUGCAUCAGCUCCUGGAUAGAGGAGAGGAGCUGUGGUGGUGCUGAGCGGAAAACGCUGCUCACGAGAAGGAAAGAAAAAACUGUCAGUUGGUCCUCACCGCUGCUGAGCUGCAGUGCAUAAUGGGAAAUAUUCACCUGGAGAAAUUCUGAUCACUGUCAAAAGACAAUAAGAAGGAAGAAGCUUCCCGCCACGGCCGCCGCCGCCGCCGCAGCUUCCUCUGUCUGUCUGUGGUUUAUUUUGAAAAACAAUAUAAAUUAGAGCCAGACUGGGGGCAGUGAAGAAGAAGAGUGAAGAAGAAGAGGGAGGAAGAAGAGUGAGG